CUAUACCUACGGGACGCAGCAGUGAGGAAUAUUGGUCAAUGGGCGCGAGCCUGAACCAGCCAAGUCGCGUGAGGGAAGACGGUCCUAUGGAUUGUAAACCUCUUUUGUCGGGGAGCAAAAGACGCCACGCGUGGCGUUCCGAGAGUACCCGAAGAAAAAGCAUCGGCUAACUCCGUGCCAGCAGCCGCGGUAAUACGGAGGAUGCGAGCGUUAUCCGGAUUUAUUGGGUUUAAAGGGUGCGUAGGCGGGACCUUAAGUCAGCGGUAAAAUUGCGGUGCUCAACGCCGUAGAGCCGUUGAAACUGG
Molecule: ribosomal RNA, 305 nt
Filed under: uncultured bacterium
Lineage: Bacteria
Description: bacterial SSU rRNA
Rfam family: Bacterial small subunit ribosomal RNA
Source: RNAcentral